This 538-nucleotide ribosomal RNA is filed under the name uncultured bacterium. RNAcentral's name for it is "bacterial SSU rRNA". It matches the Rfam family "Bacterial small subunit ribosomal RNA", at positions 9 to 526 of the family's 1533-position model. The record is from RNAcentral.
GAGUUUGAUCAUGGCUCAGAUUGAACGCUGGCGGCAUGCCUAACACAGCAAGUCGAACGGCAGCAGCAGAAACAAUCCUUCGGGUGCGUAUCUGGCUGGCGAGUGGCGGACGGGUGAGUAAUGCUUAGGAAUCUACCCAGUAGCGGGGGAUAGCCCGGGGAAACCCGGAUUAAUACCGCAUACGCCCUACGGGGGAAAGCGGGGGAUCUUCGGACCUCGCACUAUUGGAUGAGCCUAAGUCCGAUUAGCUUGUUGGUAGGGUAAAGGCCUACCAAGGCAACGAUCGGUAGCUGGUCUGAGAGGACGAUCAGCCACACUGGGACUGAGACACGGCCCAGACUCCUACGGGAGGCAGCAGUGGGGAAUAUUGGACAAUGGGGGCAACCCUGAUCCAGCAAUGCCGCGUGUGUGAAGAAGGCCUGCGGGUUGUAAAGCACUUUCAGCAGGGAAGAAAACCCGGGAGUUAAUACCUCCACGGGCUUGACAUUACCUGCAGAAGAAGCACCGGCUAACUCCGUGCCAGCAGCCGCGGUAAUAC